AGAGUUUGAUCCUGGCUCAGAUUGAACGCUGGCGGAAUGCUUUACACAUGCAAGUCGAACGGCAGCACGGACUUCGGUCUGGUGGCGAGUGGCGAACGGGUGAGUAACAUAUCGGAACGUAUCCAAUAAUGGGGGAUAACUAAUCGAAAGGUUGGCUAAUACCGCAUACGCCCUACGGGGGAAAGCUAGGGACCUUCGGGCCUGGCGUUAAUGGAGCGGCCGAUAUCUGAUUAGCUAGUUGGUGGGGUAAAGGCCCACCAAGGCGACGAUCAGUAGCUGGUCUGAGAGGACGACCAGCCACACUGGAACUGAGACACGGUCCAGACUCCUACGGGAGGCAGCAGUGGGGAAUUUUGGACAAUGGGCGCAAGCCUGAUCCAGCAAUGCCGCGUGCAGGAUGAAGGCCUUCGGGUUGUAAACUGCUUUUGUACGGAACGAAACGGCGAGCUCUAAUACAGCUUGCUAAUGACGGUACCGUAAGAAUAAGCACCGGCUAACUAC
Molecule: ribosomal RNA, 501 nt
Filed under: uncultured bacterium
Lineage: Bacteria
Description: bacterial SSU rRNA
Rfam family: Bacterial small subunit ribosomal RNA
Source: RNAcentral